UUUUUAAAGGUGACAAAGUUACUAAAUGUGCAAGGCCUCAUAGCUUAGAUAGCAGCUGGCUUGUACUGCAUCCAGCAAAUGGACCUACACACCUGUGAGUACUUAAUAGACUUCUUUCCCCCUAGAUUUAAAAGUCAUUCCAUACUAAAAUAUUUGGUAUUGGAAACUCAUUUUAAGGUGACCACUGAAAAUUAUGGAAUCUAUAUGCAUCACCUUCUGAAUAAAAUAAGCCAGGAUGUUUUAUCAUUUCUGUUAAAGUGGAAAUCCCUAAGAAAUAAAAAUUUUAAGAUUUCUGUCUGUAAAAUUGAUUCAUUGAAAUUCUGAGGCUGAGUUUGCAUGAUUUAAUUUCUUUAUAGAUACACAAAUAGAUAUUUAUAAUGAUCCUCCUCUUUCAGCUUCCCUAUUUAAGGGAGAAAAGUUUCCAGACAAGCGUGUAAGCAUAUUGGUCAAUCUGGCUUGAUUGCUUUCCUCCAGCAAUGGGCAGUUUUAAUUUCCUAUCACAUUUAUAGUCAUUAUGUUUGAGAAAGGGCAAAAGAGGUUAAUGAAAUCAUUAUAAUUUCAUUCAAAUGAUAUAUAUUUUAAAAGCUCAAUUAAAGAAACAGAUACCAGGGUACCACAUUUUAUUUACCUUAUGGAGACCAUCGCUCUGUAGCACCUGUAAAGAUACUGAAGAAACACAUUUCCCAAUGCUAAAAUGAAUGUGAAGUCAUUACCAUCACUGAACAUAUCUAUAAAGUAAGUUUAUUAUGAAGAUAAAUGAUGUUUAAUUGAAAAUGCAUUGUUUCCUUAUUUAUUUAAUGCAUUUUUAAUCAAAUUCCUGACAGUUUUAAGGUAACAUAACAAAUUGGUUACUAAGGAAUACUGCAAUUUGACUGAAAUAUUACAAGUUACUUGGUUUUGAACAAACUAAUAAACCUCUUUAAUCAGUGCUUUCUUCAUCUGUAAAGUGAACAUAAUGAUAUUACUAGCCCCAACAUGAUGGGGCAAAUGACAUAAGUAACAUAAAAUCACACUGACUGACAUCUAUAAUAAGACGUUAAUACAUUUUCUCUAUUAUCAUUAUUACUAUUGUUACUACUAUUAUUAUGUCAUAUCCUUUAGAAAUAUGGAACAUUCUGGGAGGCCGAGGUGGGCGGAUCACGAGGUCAGGAGAUUGAGACCAUCCUGGCUAACACGGUGAAACCCCGUCUCUACUAAAAAUACAAAAAAAUUAGCCGGGCGUGGCGGCGGGCGCCUGUAGUCCCAGCUACUUGGGAGGCUGAGGCAGGAGAAUGGUGCGAACCCGGGAGGCAGAUUUUGCAGAGAGCCGAGAUCGUGCCACUGCACUCCAGCCUGGGCGACAGAGCAAGACUCCGUCUCAAAACAAAAAACAAACAAACAAAUAUGGAGCAUUCUGAUAUGAAUAAGACACUUGCUCACUUCUCAAUUCCUUGGUGUCCAGGUGGGAAAGCAGAUAAGAUUAUGUUAACAUUGUACCAAUCUGAUCUGGUCUAAACAUUUUAUCUAUAUUAACUCAUUUAUACUGUCAAUAAUUAUGUUAGGUAGGUUUCAUGAGUAUUCCUGUUGUACAAAUGAGGAAAUAGUGGCUUCAUAGGAUAAACGGUUGCUCAUAGUUACAUGGCUAGCUAGAGUUUUGCUGGGAUGUGACUCCAGGCAGUUUUGUUCCAGAGUCAUUAUUUUUUUCUUUUCUACAGCUCUACAAGUGUAUAUAGACUUCCAAAGAAUAUUUAAAUCCUUUAACAAAAAUGCCACCUAAGAAAAUAUGAAAUACUUCAGUCUGUCUGUCAGUGCUCACUUCCUGUCUAGAAACUUUCAGGCUCCGGCACAAAUGAACCAUGUUCUUCGCCUAAGUCAUUUAUGGAACAUCUGCUUUCGGUUUAGCAUCAGGUAAGAUAAUAAGAGAAAUUCAGUGCUACUAUCACUGCUUUCAGGAAGCUUACAACCUUUUAAACAAAUAUGCAACCAUAGCGUAUGGCCCUUUUAUGGAAUUUUGGAAGAUGACUAAUGUCUGUAUACAAAAAUGUACAUAUAUAUGUACAUGUAUGUACAUACACACAAUUGUAAUAUUUGGUUAUACAUAUAGUAAAGAAUGCUACCUUUUUUAAAAUUGUUUUCUGCCUUCCAGUCAAUGAUAAGAAUCCAGACAUAUUCAUUUAAAUAGGGGGAGAGGGACACUUAUAAUUCUUAUUUCAUCUUUACAGAUACAAUGUAUUUCUUUGGAAUUGACAGGGGAAACAAAGCAAAGAAGAAUGACACUGAAGAAUCAAAAAAAAAAAUGAGCAUAAGACCCAUGAAGAUUACAGACACAUACACUCCUAAAAUUAAACAUUAAGCGGAAUAAAAAUAAUCCCAGAUUAUAUGGUCUGACAUGCCAGAAGAAAUAAAAACCUAAGGAAUUAGUUAAAAUCUGUGCAAAAAAAAAAAAAAAAAAAAAAAAAAAAAAACACUAUGACUAGAAAAAGCACUAUUACUAGUAAAAAUAAUGAUAAUGAAUUCUGGUGUCUAAAAUAUUGAACUAAAUAGUUAACAAUAGCAUAUACAUUAAGAGAGAGUGAUUGGGAUUUACAGGUUCUUAAUCCUGCUAAUGUCAGGAAUAAGGUAGAGAUAAUGUUAGCAGAGAUUUUGAUAAAUAUGUAUAUUAAAAUCUGUAGGGUAAUCACUGAAACCAAAAUGGUGGAUAUAAUUUAUCAAAUAAUAGCAAACAAAUCAAGUGAAAAAUUACCAAAUUAAGGCUGGGCACGGUGGCUUACACCUGUAAUCCCAACAAUUUGGGAGGCUGAGGUGGGUGGAUCACCUGAGGUCAGGAGUUUGGGACCCAGCCUGGCCAACAUGGUGAAACACCAUCUCUACUAAAAAUACAAAAAUUAGCCAGGGGUGGUGGUUGGUGCCUGUAAUCCCAUCUACUCAGGCAACUGAGGCAGGAGAAUCACUUGAACCCAGGAGGCAGAGGUUGCAGUGAGCCAAGAUGGCGCCUCUGCACUCCAGCCUGGGAGACAAGAGUGAAACUCUAUCUCAAAAAAAAAAAAAAUUAAUUAAUUAAUUCAUAAAAGGCUAGAGAGCAUGAAAAACAAAAGAGAAAAAAAUAGCAUUCAGCUAUCAGAAGUCUGGGUCUAAAGGAAAUAAAUCUGUUAAAUCCAGUAGUCAGACUCCUUAAACUUUGGCCUGCCUCUCCCAGAUGAGAUUAUACCAAAACCAACCUAAUUAUUACUAAAUUAUUUGAUCAAUUUGGAAUUGAAAGGAUGAGGAAGAAAACACAACUAAAAGGAAUUGUACACCCAACAUUAUACACUAAGUCAAUUCCAGUUUGGGAUAAAGAAAAAUCUAAAAAAUGAAAGUAUACAACUUUUAGAAGUCAUUUCAUGGGGAUAUAUUUAUAAUUUAAAGACAGCAAAAAAAAAAAAAAAAACAUUGACACAAAACAAACAAAAAAGAAAACCUCUACUAUAUGAGUAUAUAAAUUAAAAGUUAUUGUUUAUCAAGGACCAUAAAAAACAAAAACAAGAAUCUCAAAUUGUGAGAAAUUAUUUUCAGUGCAUAAAAAUGACAAGUGAAUAUUAUUCAGCAUGUAUAACAAAAGCUUCACAACUACUAAAGGAAAGAAAAAAUUAUAAAACACAAAGACUCAAACUGCAGUUAACAGAAGGGGAAAUUUGAAUUUUUAUCAA
Molecule: long non-coding RNA, 3665 nt
Filed under: Homo sapiens (human)
Lineage: Eukaryota; Metazoa; Chordata; Mammalia; Primates; Hominidae
Description: HSALNT0056910
Source: RNAcentral